UACGUAGGGCGCAAGCGUUUGUCCGGAAUUAUUGGGCGUAAAGAGCUCGUAGGCGGUUUGUCGCGUCUGCUGUGAAAACCUAAGGCUCAACCUUGGGCUUGCAGUGGGUACGGGCAGACUAGAGUGCGGUAGGGGUGACUGGAAUUCCUGGUGUAGCGGUGGAAUGCGCAGAUAUCAGGAGGAACACCGAUGGCGAAGGCAGGUCACUGGGCCGCAACUGACGCCGAGGAGCGAAAGCAUGGGGAGCCGAACAGG
RNAcentral lists this ribosomal RNA (255 nucleotides) under uncultured bacterium. RNAcentral describes it as "partial 16S ribosomal RNA". It matches the Rfam family "Bacterial small subunit ribosomal RNA", at positions 524 to 776 of the family's 1533-position model. The record is from RNAcentral.